This 498-nucleotide ribosomal RNA is filed under the name uncultured bacterium. RNAcentral describes it as "partial 16S ribosomal RNA". It matches the Rfam family "Bacterial small subunit ribosomal RNA", at positions 30 to 523 of the family's 1533-position model. The record is from RNAcentral.
AUUGAACGCUGGCGGCAUGCCUUACACAUGCAAGUCGAACGGUAACAGGUCUUCGGAUGCUGACGAGUGGCGAACGGGUGAGUAAUACAUCGGAACGUGCCUAGUAGUGGGGGAUAACUACUCGAAAGAGUGGCUAAUACCGCAUGAGAUCUACGGAUGAAAGCAGGGGAUCGCAAGACCUUGUGCUACUAGAGCGGCCGGUGGCAGAUUAGGUAGUUGGUGGGAUAAAAGCUUACCAAGCCGACGAUCUGUAGCUGGUCUGAGAGGACGAUCAGCCACACUGGGACUGGGAAACGGCCCAGACUCCUACGGGAGGCAGCAGUGGGCAAUUUUGGACAAUGGGCGCAAGCCUGAUCCAGCAAUGCCGCGUGCAGGAUGAAGGCCUUCGGGUUGUAAACUGCUUUUGUACGGAACGAAAAGCCCCGGGUUAAUACCCUGGGGUCAUGACGGUACCGUAAGAAUAAGCACCGGCUAACUACGUGCCAGCCGCCGCGGUAA